CCUACGGGAGGCAGCAGUGGGGAAUAUUGCACAAUGGGGGAAACCCUGAUGCAGCGACGCCGCGUGAGUGAAGAAGUGAUUCGUUAUGUAAAGCUCUAUCAGCAGGGAAGAAAAUGACGGUACCUGAGUAAGAAGCCCCGGCUAACUACGUGCCAGCAGCCGCGGGAAUACGUAGGGGGCAGGCGUUAUCCGGAUUUACUGGGUGUAAAGGGGGCGUAGACGGCAGUGCAGGUCUGGAGUGAAAGGCGGGGGCCCAACCCCCGGACUGCUCUUGAAACUGCACGGCUGGAGUGCAGGAGGGGUAAGUGGAAUUCCUAGUGUAGCGGUGAAAUGCGUAGAUAGUAGGAGGAACACCAGUGGCGAAGGCGGCUUACUGGACUGUAACUGACGUUGAGGCUCGAAAGCGUGGGGAGCAAACAGGAUUAGAUACCCUUGUAGUC
This 440-nucleotide ribosomal RNA is filed under the name uncultured bacterium. RNAcentral describes it as "partial 16S ribosomal RNA". It matches the Rfam family "Bacterial small subunit ribosomal RNA", at positions 338 to 795 of the family's 1533-position model. The record is from RNAcentral.